CAGCCGCCGCGGUAACACGUAGGGGGCGAGCGUUGUCCGGAAUUACUGGGCGUAAAGGGCGCGUAGGCGGUAGGUUAAGUCGGAUGUGAAAGUCCAUGGCUCAACCAUGGAAUUGCAUAUGAAACUGAUCUACUUGAGUUCAGGAGAGGAGAGCGGAAUUCCUAGUGUAGCGGUGAAAUGCGUAGAGAUUAGGAAGAACACCAGUGGCGAAGGCGGCUCUCUGGACUGUAACUGACGCUGAGGCGCGAAAGCGUGGGUAGCGAACAGGAUUAGAUACCCUGGUAGUCCACGCCGUAAACGAUGAGUGCUAGGUGUUGGGGGUCGAACUCCAGUGCCGCAGUUAACACAUUAAGCACUCCGCCUGGGGAGUACGACCGCAAGGUUGAAACUCAAAGGAAUUGACGGGGGCCCGCACAAGCAGCGGAGCAUGUGGUUUAAUUCGAAGCAACGCGAAGAACCUUACCAGGGCUUGACAUCGUCUGACCGCUUAAGAGAUUAGGCCUUCCCUUCGGGGACAGACAGACAGGUGGUGCAUGGCC
RNAcentral lists this ribosomal RNA (539 nucleotides) under uncultured archaeon. RNAcentral's name for it is "bacterial SSU rRNA". It matches the Rfam family "Bacterial small subunit ribosomal RNA", at positions 509 to 1050 of the family's 1533-position model. The record is from RNAcentral.